RNAcentral lists this ribosomal RNA (238 nucleotides) under uncultured bacterium. RNAcentral's name for it is "partial 16S ribosomal RNA". It matches the Rfam family "Bacterial small subunit ribosomal RNA", at positions 15 to 236 of the family's 1533-position model. The record is from RNAcentral.
GAUCAUGGCUCAGGAUGAACGCUGGCGGCGUGCCUAACACAUGCAAGUCGAACGAGGUAAAUAAGAGGAAGUUUUCGGAUGGAAUCGUAUUUACCGAGUGGCGGACGGGUGAGUAACGCGUUGAUAACCUGCCUCAUACAGGGGGAUAACAGUUAGAAAUGACUGCUAAUACCGCAUAAGCGCACAGUACCGCAUGGUACGGUGUGAAAAACUCCGGUGGUAUGAGAUGGAUCCGCGU